RNAcentral lists this ribosomal RNA (372 nucleotides) under uncultured organism. Its description in RNAcentral is "bacterial SSU rRNA". It matches the Rfam family "Bacterial small subunit ribosomal RNA", at positions 526 to 896 of the family's 1533-position model. The record is from RNAcentral.
CGGAGGGUGCGAGCGUUGUCCGGAAUCACUGGGCGUAAAGGGCGCGUAGGCGGCGCGGGCAGUCAACGGUGAAAGCUUGGGGCUCAACCCCGAGUCGGCCGUCGAUACUCCCGUGCUUGAGCACUGUAGAGGCAGGUGGAAUUCCGGGUGUAGCGGUGGAAUGCGUAGAGAUCCGGAAGAACACCGGUGGCGAAGGCGGCCUGCUGGGCAGUAGCUGACGCUGAGGCGCGACAGCGUGGGGAGCAAACAGGAUUAGAUACCCUGGUAGUCCACGCCGUAAACGAUGGGCACUAGGUGCUUGGGGGAGCGACCCCCUGAGUGCCGGCGCUAACGCAUUAAGUGCCCCGCCUGGGGAGUACGGCCGCAAGGCUG